UACGUAGGGUGCAAGCGUUGUCCGGAAUUAUUGGGCGUAAAGAGCUCGUAGGCGGUUUGUCGCGUCUGCUGUGAAAACCCGAGGCUCAACCUCGGGCCUGCAGUGGGUACGGGCAGACUAGAGUUCGGUAGGGGAGACUGGAAUUCCUGGUGUAGCGGUGAAAUGCGCAGAUAUCAGGAGGAACACCGGUGGCGAAGGCGGGUCUCUGGGCCGAUACUGACGCUGAGGAGCGAAAGCGUGGGGAGCGAACAGG
This 253-nucleotide ribosomal RNA is filed under the name uncultured bacterium. RNAcentral's name for it is "partial 16S ribosomal RNA". It matches the Rfam family "Bacterial small subunit ribosomal RNA", at positions 524 to 776 of the family's 1533-position model. The record is from RNAcentral.